UACGGGGGGGGCAAGCGUUGUUCGGAAUUACUGGGCGUAAAGGGCUUGUAGGUGGCCAACUAAGUCAGACGUGAAAUCCCUCGGCUUAACCGGGGAACUGCGUCUGAUACUGGAUGGCUGGAGUGUGGGAGAGGGAUGCGGAAUUCCUGGUGUAGCGGUGAAAUGCGUAGAUAUCAGGAGGAACACCUGCGGUGUAGACGGCUUACUGGACCAUAACUGACGCUGAGGCACGAAAGCGUGGGUAGCAAACAGG
Molecule: ribosomal RNA, 253 nt
Filed under: uncultured bacterium
Lineage: Bacteria
Description: partial 16S ribosomal RNA
Rfam family: Bacterial small subunit ribosomal RNA
Source: RNAcentral